This 369-nucleotide microRNA precursor is filed under the name Cajanus cajan (pigeon pea). RNAcentral describes it as "miRNA gene-KK1_020612". The record is from RNAcentral. Lineage: Eukaryota; Viridiplantae; Streptophyta; Magnoliopsida; Fabales; Fabaceae.
UUAUUGAGUGAUUGAAGCUGCUAGAUGACCUGAUGGAACCACUUAUUAUAAUGAUAACCGAAUUUCCCUUCUGGUAGGUUUCCUUUAAGGACUCCAGUUUACAAGUCCCUUUUAUUACUUGGCUCAAGAAGUUAAAGAAAAUAAAAACUCAAAAAAAAAAAAAGGCAGGUAAAGUUGACACACUUGUUCUUCAAAUUCCAUAACUUUUUUCAAAUUGAUACACACUGGAAACCUUGAAUUGGAUCUAAGAAUGAAUAGAUGGAUUAUUUUUUACCAGUAUUUUCUCUGAGGAAUUAUUAUAUGCAUGAGAUGAGAAAAAAGAGUGUGUGGCUGAUUACCAGAUCAUGCUGGCAGCUUCAACCUCUCAAA